This 1034-nucleotide long non-coding RNA is filed under the name Echeneis naucrates (live sharksucker). RNAcentral's name for it is "lncRNA (ENSENLG00000021920.1)". The record is from RNAcentral. Lineage: Eukaryota; Metazoa; Chordata; Actinopteri; Carangiformes; Echeneidae.
AGGAGGAGGUAGUACCCAAGGAGAACCCUUUUUUCAAACUGCGCUCCUCAUCAAAUGUAAUUAAAGUGGAACAGGAUAUCCGGGAGGGCCGAGAAAGGGAGAAAGAGCUCCGCAGGCAGAGGAUCACUAUGUAUGGGGGCACAAAUGGAGGAGAAAAAGGAGGAGGUGAUGGAGGAGGAAGGAGGUCAGCCACCACUGAAGGAAAGAUUCAAAAGUCAUCUUCCAACCCACAGAAUGAGCUGCCUGUUCUUGACUUGCCUAAUUCAUCAACCCAGGGGGAAAUUGGACCCUCAGCAGCUCAGCAGUCUGUUGGGAAGUUGAGCACAUGGCCUCCGCCCAAGGCUGAAAAGGAGAGGACAGAGGUUCUCCUGAGUCCACGGACCCCCAGGCAGAAGACUCCUCUAGUACAGCGCUGGGAGUCAGGCCUGGUUAAUGGACACAUUGAGGACAACAACUGAGAAGACACCGACAGAGAAAAGUCAAGGAAACAGAGACUUGUAGUGUUGAAAAAACUGGAAGUCCAGGUACGGAAAGUGGGUACGGAAAUGAGGAGGGAGCAGUGAAAAAGAGGAGAGAUGGGAAAGAAUGCAAAGUGGGAAAGAGGUCAGGGAUUUAGGCUAGAAAGAGGGCCAGGAGGAUUGGGAGUGGACUGAAAGACCUUUAAAAGUCCUUCAGUGACUACAAGAGAAGAAGGAGCGGGCCACAGAGUAGUGGAAGAGCACUUGGCCUGCUUCUGCUGCUGGAAACACUGACACUAAUGAACAUAAAAUUGCAAAUAAUGAUGCUUCUCUGGAGAAGAAAGAAGUGUAAAGUUAGUAACAGUGGGGCAUUGAAACCUUUUUCGGAUUACAAUGAGUUAUUAUUUGCUGAUGAAAAUAGUUUAGCACAUUAUGGCAUACUGAACAAGGCAUGAAAAACAGUAUGUCAUCCCCAGUUUUAUGCUUUAAGUGAUGUCUGACAGCGCAAUACCACUUUAUUACGCCUGUACUAAUUCAAUCAAUAAUAGCCGUGCAAUAAAUCCGGAGUUUGUGUAG